Molecule: long non-coding RNA, 833 nt
Organism: Chinchilla lanigera (long-tailed chinchilla)
Lineage: Eukaryota; Metazoa; Chordata; Mammalia; Rodentia; Chinchillidae
Source: Ensembl
GGGCAAACAGUUUAUAACCCCCGGCUGUGAUCUGCAGUGGAGGGGUGGGAGAGGGAAAAACAAGAUGACACUAAUGUUGGGUGAGAACUGGAAGGCUGGCUGGUGAAGUUGGUAGGAACAAACGGAUUCCUGCUGGAGAUGCCGGAACCAGUCACUUCGCAGCAUGCGGUGUUCUGCAGCUUCUCUGCUGCAUCUGGGUGUUGCUGUCCCCAAGCAGAUUCUGUGAUACAAGGCGUCUGAAAGCUGCCUGCCCACGUGUCACUGCUGCACCAAAGCACAAGACCGCACAGCCACAGGACAGCACGGUCCUGAGCACACUUCUUAAGAGUGGCCACUUCUCAAGGAUUUUCACAGGAGUUGUGUUAACGUAACUGUCCAUACAGUCAGGACGAGACAGGAGUGGGAACAGCAUGGAAUGAAUAAAAAAUUAUUGUUCCUUUUCUAACGCGUAAUUGGACUUAACUUCAGACUUGUGAAAAAAUGUAAAGAACAAAAGGGAAGAAUUCCAUAUCACCUUUGUGCAGAUGCCUUAAUGUUAGCGUUCUGCAGAUUUUACUUAUUUUUCUGUUCUGCUUGAGCCUAAGUUGGAGCCAUGGAAAUGGGACUGAAAGGAAGAGGGUUUUUUAAAUGUACUUUAAGAGAAAGAGCAGAGAGUCAGUUACGUAACUGGAUUUUUUUCUGUUAAAACCUUUCUUUUAACCUUAAAACAAUUUGGAAUAAUAGUUUUGUCUUUGACACCAAGUAGUAAUUUAAGGUUUAAAAAAAAAUAUCAGGAGUCAGAUGAGACCUCAGUGUAAGGAGCAAACCUCUUCUUUCACUCCGACUCCCUCUAC